GUUCAUACACUUUACGCUUGCGAGAGAGAGAGAGGAUUUGCACGGUUCUCGUUCUUAGUAUUUGGUGAUACCGUCACUGACUUGAGCGUCGGAGUGCGAUCGGCCGCAGCGACGCCGUAUCGUUUCUUUGCAGGUUCUUGAGAUAGAUCCAGAGGAGGAACGGAAGUGAGAAGCGGCGCGCACGUCGAUCCUUUGACGAGGCAUUUUCCAGCGCUCCGGUCAACAGGCAGGAUCA
RNAcentral lists this long non-coding RNA (235 nucleotides) under Phaseolus vulgaris (common bean). RNAcentral's name for it is "long non-coding RNA (PVUL_LNC003516)". The record is from RNAcentral. Lineage: Eukaryota; Viridiplantae; Streptophyta; Magnoliopsida; Fabales; Fabaceae.